Lotus japonicus is the source of this 5182-nucleotide RNA transcript. RefSeq lists it as uncharacterized. The transcript is spliced from 8 exons. Lineage: Eukaryota; Viridiplantae; Streptophyta; Magnoliopsida; Fabales; Fabaceae. The record is from RefSeq and is a predicted model, not a curated record.
ACAAGUCAAAGUACUUUUCCAAAAAUAAGACACUGAUAGAAGUGCAGCCUAGGAUAGAGAGAGAAAAGCUCAGAACUUUUGAGGAGAGAAAGAAGGAAACCGAGCUUUCCUUGUACACAUCUUGAGGACCACAAAUUAGGCUCCAUCUUGAUUUAGGCACUGGAGUAAACGAGGAGGAGGAUUCCAUAGCCAUAAGGGUGGAAGAGAACCAGAACCAGCUAACUGAGCAAGAGUAUGGGCAGAAGCGUUGCCCUCUCUCGGAGUCCAUAUGAAGCUCCAUUCAGGAAAAGCACUUUUCUAGGAGAUCCAAGUUCUGGGCAACAAUCACUGCCUCUCUAAGGAUUAGAGCUUCUGCCACAAGGGGGAAUUAGCAUACAAUUUCCUUGCAGAUCCACACGUUACCGAGCCCUGAUGGUCUCUGAAGAUGAACCCACCUGCUGCUUUGUGAUUGUGCGGGGAGAAAGCUGCAUCAGAGUUAGCUUUAACGAAGUCAGGUGAGGGUUUGAUCCAACGGCGUGUUUCUCUAACUUGUGGAAUUUCUCUUGGUGUCUGGGGAGUCUGCUGAAUGACUGGGCUUAUCUCAGAAUGAAGAUUGGCUGUUUGAAGAAGACAAGUGUUUGGGGUAUUGAUAGCUCUGAAGGUGUCCUCUAGCCAGGUUGCAAAUAUGAGAAGAUUAGUACCAUCUGUUGAGAGAGAAAGGGGAAAAUCGAACCAAACUAGUCUAGUCCACUCACAUAGGAGUAAGGCAUGAUUAAUGUCCUCAGAGCCUUGGCCACAGAUGGAGCAAAGGAAUUUGGUAGGGUGAUUGGAGCUAAUGGCUGUUGAAAGAUUUGCAUCAGCUGCUUCCUUAGCUGUUCUGUAUCCAGAUUUAACCGUGUAAUCUUCUGAAGGUACAUAAGGCCAGUAGAGUGUAUCUUUUGCAUCUGAAAAGCUGAAAGGGGUUUGGAGUAUCUUCCCCACAUCCGUAGAAGGGAGCAAUUGCAUUAUAGUGUUCACUUUCCAUUUCAGUUCAUCAUUGUCUAGCAAGCCAUUUACCUUAAGAUGCGUUGGGCCAUCCUGUAGCCUUUCACAAGAAGAGAGCCACCUGUGAGUCAUGAUAUCCACUUGACUCCCAUUCCCAAUAUUCCAUCUACCAUGUUCAAGAAGAAGGUCUCUCCCAUAAAGAAGACUGGACCAGGACAACGAGGAAUUUCUCCUUUUCUUUGCUGCAAGCAACUCUUCAUUGGGAAAAUAUAUACCCUUUAUCACUUUGACCCACAAGGCAUCCGAUGAUUGCACAGCUUUCCAUGCUUGUUUAGCUAAUAAAGCCUGGUUCAUAAGUUCAAAGUCCUUAAAACCCAUUCCUCCCUUGUCUUUGCUCUGAGUUAGAAAGUGCCAAUUCUUUCAGUGGAUGCCCCUUUCUUUCUGCCCCUUCCACCAAAAUUGGGCAACUUUUGAACAUAUUUGUUUGCAGAAGUUUUUGGGGAACCGAAGAAUAGCCAUGGCGUAUCUGGGAAUUGCUUGUAAUACGGCUUUGAUCAAAAUCUCCUUGCCAGCUUGAUUUAAAAGAACACCCUUCCAACCCUUGAUUUUACUAAGAAUUCUAUCUUUAAUCCACUGAAGUGAGUGAGAUUUUGAUCGUCCCCAUUCGGCUGGCAUUCCAAGAUAGAGUCCAGGGUUGGACCAAACUUGUAACCCCAAAAUGCUGGCAAGAGUGCUCUUCUUGUCAUUAGCCAGAGAUCUACCACCUAUAAGACCUGAUUUGUGGAGAUUCACUCUUUGACCUGAGGCUUUUGAGAAAAUAUUCAAGAUACGCUUAAGCUCAUACAUCUCAUGAUUCUCAGCCUUGGUAAAGAGUAUAGGAUCGUCUGCAAAGAGAAGAUGAGUAAGAGCAGGUGAAGUAGGGGCCAAUCGGAGGCCUUGGAGAUUUCCCAUGUUAAAGCUGUUUUGAAUAAGAAGAGAAAGGACUUCCAUAGUGAAGAGGAAGAGAUAAGGGGAAAAGGGGUCCCCUUGUCUCAACCCUCUUUGAGGAAGAAGCUUAGGUCCCACCACACCAUUGAUCUUGUAAUUAUAAGAGACCCCUGAGACCAAAAUCAUGAUCAUUUUAACCCAAUUGGUGCUGAAACCGAAAGCUAGCAAAGAGCUUUCUAAGAAUUUCCAUUCAACUCGAUCAUAAGCUUUGUUCAUGUCAAGCUUUAUGAUUGAGUGAUUUCUGCCAAGUGCACCCGGUCUGUUUAUAGCAUGGAAAGCUUCCUGCACAAUCAGUAAAUUAUCUUGAAUCUGUCUUCCUUGAAUAAAGCCACUUUGCAUAGGAGAGAUGAGAUCUGGCAUGGCAUCCUUAAGUCUAGCUACAAAGAUUUUUGAGAUAACUUUAUAGAGGAAGGUGCAACAACUGAUGGGCCUAAACUGAUUGAUGGAUUCUGGGUGGGGGACUUUUGGAAUAAGUGUCACAAGAGUCUCAUUAAUUUCAUUGGGAAUCUCAGCUCUUUCAAAAAAAGCCAAGAUCGCCUAAGUUACACUAUCCUUAACCACAUCCCAAUUUUUCUGGUAGAACAGACCAUUCAUCCCAUCAAUGCCCGGGGCUUUGAGGUCUCCAAGAGAAAAAACAACAGCCUUAAUUUCUUCUGAAGUUACCUGAGAUUCAAGCUUUUGAUUCAGAUCUUGAGAGACUAAGGAAGGAACAACAUUUAGGCACUCUUGCAAGAAUUGGGGUGGUGUGGAGGUAUACAACUCAUGGAAAAAAUCAAAAGCAGCGAUGUUUAUGUUAUGCUGCCUUUCCACCCAGGUGAUCAUUUUGGAGCUCUAGGGCCCUUUUCUUUAACAACUCAAUUUCACGGUCAGCUCUCUUAAAUUUACCUUGGCUCCAAGAGGUUAAAGAGAGUUUGCAGUUCUGAGUUCUGUCAAUGGGAUAAGGAAGAUGAAAUAACAGCAACCAGGUUGUCCUCAACCACGGUUUCCAGAGCUAGGGGCUUGAGUUUCCAAGGUAUUCUCCAAAGAGGGAGGUAAAUGUGACAAGUCCUCAAUAUCUUUUUGCACAUUGGAUUUGGGCUCUUCAGAGUAACCACUGGGCAAUCCAAGAGGGAGUUAUCAGUUCUUUCCCCGAGGUGCUCAAGGGGGGAUGUGAGAGAAAUUAUGGCUUGUGGAGGAUAAUUAAAGCACUGCUCAGAAUGAGGGAAUUUUGACACCAAAUUGGUGACAGGACCAGAAAAGAAGCCAUAGGUAGCUUGGUACCAGAGUAUCCCCCCAUGCUGUUUAUCUCAUCUUCUCUUUCCUUCAAGUCUUGUUCAGACACCCGGAUAGUAGUUCUCAGAGGGCCCGAAACAUGCGGGGCAAGCAAGGUAUUCUGUUGGGCCACUUGACACUCUGUGAUACUAGAAUUGCAUUGAUUUGGACUAGUGGCCUGAUCAUCCCUACAGGACACAGUGUUGAUAACCUGUGAUAGAUUGUGACUUUGAUGUACUACAGUGGAUAGCUAGGGCUCCACAGUCACUGUAGUGUUAUCUGCGGGAGUAGCAGAGAGAUUGCUCUGCCUUCGUAGGUGCCCUGUAGUUGUUAUGAGUAACCGAGGGAUCCAUAUGGGCUGAGUUUUUAGACUGCAUUGGGGUCCUUGAUUGAAAAGCCCUGGAGGCUAUUAUUGAAUCCAGAGAUCUUGCUGUAGCUACCCAUAGACUUGGACCAUAUCUUGGGAUUUUUGGAUUGUUGAUUGCCAUAGUCUUGAGGGAAUUGCAGAACUUUUGCUCAUGACCAAUUUUUCCACAUUUGAAAUAGAACCCUUGAAGCUUUUCAUAGCGGAGAGAAACCCAGACUUUCGGCAAGCUCUUCCUUGGGAUCCAGAAACCGGUGGGUAUAGGCUUAUCUGUGUUGAGCCAUACCUUAGCUCUAAAGAAAUGGCGAAGCAUGUUACCUUCAACACAAGGAUUUUCAACUUCAAUAAGUUCUCCAAUAAAGGUAGUUAUUUUUGCAAUAUUAUCUAUUGACAUUGCAUCAAGUAGUAAGCCAUGAAUUUGUACCCAGAAAGCUACCAAGUUAUAUUUGACCUCAUGAACAGCCAUUUGGGGGUCCCAUUUUUGAAGACUAAGAAUAUUUCCCAUAACACUCCAUGGCCCCUCAUCAUAUACUCUUUGUGCCGUAGUAUCAGAAUCAAAAGUAAAGAGCAAGCAAUUAAUGCCCAUGUCAGCCAUAUGUAGGUCAUUAAGAUUCCCCCAAGCUUUUUGUAGAAUAGAUCUCAUAGCAUUUUUGUUAAUAGAUUUAUCGGAUAGUAAUUUACCAAUAAGCAUGCGUUUGGCUAAAGCUAUACCUACAAGUUCAUCAGUUUGUAGAUCUAGGGUUAUACCCUCUAGAGAGAAAGAUUCCUCAUUCAUCAUUGCUGGUGAAUUAGCAGAGGACUCAGCUUGAUUUGACGUAUGAGGUGUGGUUGACAAGGAAGGAUGCGACGGGGAAUCUAUCCUCACCGGGGUCCUCAGUGUCAGAUCUGGAGUUGUUGGAGACGUCAUAAGGUGCCAGAGAAAGAGGAGACAAAAAGCUUAAUAAUCGAGGAGAAGAAACGUGGGUGGGCACAACACAAAACCCACAGCCACUGUUUCCACAAAAAAAGCACACAGAAAUAAAUGAAAAGGCUACAGCCAAAGCUGUCCCUUUUACACUACUCUCCAGGAAAAAUGAGAGAAAAACUCCAGAAGAUUUGGAGAAAUAACUCUUCUUAGGGUAGACUCAAAGGGGAAUUGACUGGUCAUAGACCCAAAACCAAAAACCCUAGCAGAGCGGAGUAUACUCUAAAAGAGAAAUUGACCAAAGAGAGUAAGUGUUAUUUUCUACAUUUAUAUUUUUUGUCAACGUGCAUGAAAAGCUGUAUAGAUAAAAGCCCAAAGCAUGUUGGGCCAAAGAACAUGAAGAGACAAACUUGUAGGAAAAAUGAUCAAGACCGAGGAUUGCAGAGUGAGAUGGGCUCCAUGGGGCUAAAGGUGCUCCAGAUUCCAGAUUGCAUCAACUCUUAUCUGCAUUGACAAAAAAAAAAACUCUUAUCUGCAAGAUAUCUUAAUCAGCAUUUAUAUGUACACCAUUCCACAUCUGUAAUUUGCGACAAUAUUUUACCAGCACUAUUAUAGGGUUUAUUUUCAAUAGACUUUACAAUUUUUUAUGGUAAAAAACCGUCACAAACUGUCUAUAUUGAGUGACUCAUUGUCAAUGUAUUUUAUUAUUCAUA